RNAcentral lists this ribosomal RNA (269 nucleotides) under uncultured bacterium. RNAcentral's name for it is "partial 16S ribosomal RNA". It matches the Rfam family "Bacterial small subunit ribosomal RNA", at positions 246 to 507 of the family's 1533-position model. The record is from RNAcentral.
AGGUUGGUGAGGUAAUGGCUCACCAAGGCGACGAUCCGUAACUGGUCUGAGAGGAUGAUCAGUCACACUGGAACUGAGACACGGUCCAGACUCCUACGGGAGGCAGCAGUGGGGAAUAUUGGACAAUGGGCGAAAGCCUGAUCCAGCCAUGCCGCGUGUGUGAAGAAGGUCUUCGGAUUGUAAAGCACUUUAAGUUGGGAGGAAGGGUAGUAACCUAAUACGUUGCUACUUUGACGUUACCGACAGAAUAAGCACCGGCUAACUUCGUG